AGAGUUUGAUCAUGGCUCAGAACGAACGCUGCGGCAUGCCUAACACAUGCAAGUCGAACGGGAUCCAGGCUUCGGCCUGGUGAGAGUGGCGGACGGGUGAGUAACGCGUGGGAACCUGCCCAAUGGUCUGGGAUAACCGCGGGAAACUGCGGCUAAUACCGGAUAAGCCCCCCUCGGUUAAACGGGGAGGGGAAAGAUUUAUCGCCGAUGGAGGGGCCCGCGUCAGAUUAGGUAGUUGGUGGGGUAAUGGCCUACCAAGCCUACGAUCUGUAGCUGGUCUGAGAGGAUGAUCAGCCACACUGGGACUGAGAUACGGCCCAGACUCCUACGGGAGGCAGCAGUGGGGAAUAUUGGACAAUGGGGGCAACCCUGAUCCAGCAAUGCCGCGUGAGUGAUGAAGGCCUUAGGGUUGUAAAGCUCUUUUGGCGGGGACGAUGAUGACGGUACCCGCAGAAUAAGCCCCGGCUAACUUCGUGCCAGCAGCCGCGGUAAUACGAAGGGGGCGAGCGUUGUUCGGAAUUACUGGGCGUAAAGGGCGCGUAGGCGGCCGAUCAAGUCAGAUGUGAAAGUCCUGGGCUUAACCUGGGGACUGCAUUUGAUACUGAUUGGCUUGAAUGCAGGAGAGGAUAGCGGAAUUCCCAGUGUAGAGGUGAAAUUCGUAGAUAUUGGGAAGAACACCGGUGGCGAAGGCGGCUAUCUGGACUGUGAUUGACGCUGAGGCGCGAAAGCGUGGGGAGCAAACAGGAUUAGAUACCCUAGUAGUCC
This 765-nucleotide ribosomal RNA is filed under the name uncultured bacterium. RNAcentral's name for it is "bacterial SSU rRNA". It matches the Rfam family "Bacterial small subunit ribosomal RNA", at positions 8 to 796 of the family's 1533-position model. The record is from RNAcentral.